Molecule: long non-coding RNA, 284 nt
Organism: Physella acuta
Lineage: Eukaryota; Metazoa; Mollusca; Gastropoda; Physidae
Source: RefSeq, a predicted model, not a curated record
UCUCGGAAUAAGCCCCACCCACGGAGCGUCCACCAAGUGCACAUCCGGUUCCAGCUGUCCGAGUAAUUUGAUCUGCCAGGGUGGACAGUGUCAAUGUCCGGUGUCAAUGUAUUACCACACACCUUCUGAACAGUGUGUUUUAAAAUGCUCCUCCAUGACGAGCGAGACAGGAGGUUACGUCACGAGCCCUAACUACCCGAAUGUUUACCCUAACAACACGUACUGUGUGUGGAUCAUUAGAGGCCAGCCUGGAACCUUCAUCAGAUUCAGCACUACCGACUCUC